Pimephales promelas (fathead minnow) is the source of this 544-nucleotide non-coding RNA. The record is from RefSeq and is a predicted model, not a curated record. Lineage: Eukaryota; Metazoa; Chordata; Actinopteri; Cypriniformes; Leuciscidae.
UGAAAUAAAAAUAUACUGUAUAUGAACACGUUGUUUAAUGCGCAUGCGCCAGACGUCAUGAUGACGCACUACUUCCCUAGAGUUUGAAAAAUGCGCUGUUGUGUUUCUGCAAUCGCGAUGAGGAAAUGAAAACAAGAGAACAAAAGGAGCGCCACGUUUGGCUGUUUGCAGACAGAUAUUAUUGUGUUAUACUGCAAAUAAUUAGUCAAGUAUUUUUUCCUGACUUUCCUGCCUCUUUGGAACAAAUCCAUUCACAUUUACUUUGGAGAGCACCGGGACAUUGACAUAAACAGGACUUUCCAACUACUUCAAAACAUUUGGUGACAAAUGAUUUUGGUUUUCUUGUUUUUUUUGCCUUUGGAUUUCUUCAUUUUUAUUUUAUUUUUAUUUUUUAGACAAAAUUAUAUUCACUGUAAUGCUGAAGUAAGCAUUUUGUCCUCUUUAAUGUUGGUGCUACGAAAAGGUUUAAGAGCUAAAAUUAACCAGGUUUGUUAACACUUUAAUUAGGUUUCAUUUGUUAAUAUUAGUUUAUGUAUUAGCAAAA